This is a long non-coding RNA of Tupaia belangeri chinensis (Chinese tree shrew), 280 nucleotides long. RefSeq lists it as uncharacterized. The transcript is spliced from 3 exons. The record is from RefSeq and is a predicted model, not a curated record. NCBI's taxonomy places the organism in Eukaryota, Metazoa, Chordata, Mammalia, Scandentia, Tupaiidae.
CCAUGGUACAGUGGCUAAGAGAGCCCAGUCCCAUGGCUGUUCUCAAUUUGAAACCUUGAACCACACACAGGACCAUCCUUAAGUUCCACCUUGGCAAGAUAUUAAUUUAGAAUGAUUCACCCAGGAGUUACAAGUGUUCCCAAGACCUUCACUGAGACAAGGUGGCCUCAUUCUGCUAUUAUACACAGCUAUAUACAGUGUGCUUUCCACCAUUUCUUCAUUAUUUACCAUAAUGUUGUGGCAUUGAGACUACAAUGUCAAUCAGAUCCCCUCCUUUUAA